GAUGAACGCUGGCGGCGUGCCUAAUACAUGCAAGUCGAGCGAACGGACGAGAAGCUUGCUUUUCUGAUGUUAGCGGCGGACGGGUGAGUAACACGUGGAUAACCUACCUAUAAGACUGGGAUAACUUCGGGAAACCGGAGCUAAUACCGGAUAAUAUUUUGAACCGCAUGGUUCAAAAGUGAAAGACGGUCUUGCUGUCACUUAUAGAUGGAUCCGCGCUGCAUUAGCUAGUUGGUAAGGUAACGGCUUACCAAGGCAACGAUGCAUAGCCGACCUGAGAGGGUGAUCGGCCACACUGGAACUGAGACACGGUCCAGACUCCUACGGGAGGCAGCAGUAGGGAAUAUUCGGCAAUGGGCGAAAGCCUGACGGAGCAACGCCGCGUGAGUGAUGAAGGUCUUCGGAUCGUAAAACUCUGUUAUUAGGGAAGAACAGAUGUGUAAGUAACUGUGCACAUCUUGACGGUACCUAAUCAGAAAGCCACGGCUAACUACGUG
RNAcentral lists this ribosomal RNA (497 nucleotides) under uncultured bacterium. RNAcentral describes it as "partial 16S ribosomal RNA". It matches the Rfam family "Bacterial small subunit ribosomal RNA", at positions 28 to 507 of the family's 1533-position model. The record is from RNAcentral.